AACGGAUCGCGAGUAGCUGCCCUCGGGCAGCGAAAACAUCACGUAGUCGCUUCGUCUCGACACAUUCUGUCCAUCCACUCUCGAUUGUUGACCCCUUGGCUCACGCCAUGAGGGUCAUUGCUGUUUGACAACGGAUGUAUGGUAGAUCGUGGGAUUGAAAGAAUCCUUAUUUGAGAUGACUGUUUCGUAAGAAACAUCACUCGUACGACAAUGCGCGUAGUUCUGCUUGGCGGCUUUUGUAGUCAAGCGAGAGAAGGCAUGUGGGGGAUGCCUGGGCACACGGAGGCGAUGAAGGCCGUGGUAAGCUGCGAGAAGCUCGGGGGAGUGGCACACACGCGGUGAUCCCGAGAUGG
This 353-nucleotide unclassified non-coding RNA is filed under the name uncultured Gemmatimonadota bacterium. RNAcentral's name for it is "uncultured Gemmatimonadetes bacterium partial contains 16S ribosomal RNA, 16S-23S ribosomal RNA intergenic spacer, and 23S ribosomal RNA". The stretch from base 241 to 353 matches the Rfam family "Bacterial large subunit ribosomal RNA", at positions 1 to 113 of the family's 2925-position model. Lineage: Bacteria; Pseudomonadati; Gemmatimonadota. The record is from RNAcentral.